Molecule: ribosomal RNA, 450 nt
Filed under: uncultured bacterium
Lineage: Bacteria
Description: partial 16S ribosomal RNA
Rfam family: Bacterial small subunit ribosomal RNA
Source: RNAcentral
GUGGGGAAUCUUCCGCAAUGGACGAAAGUCUGACGGAGCAACGCCGCGUGAGUGAUGAAGGUCUUCGGAUUGUAAAACUCUGUUGUCAGGGACGAAUGUGCGAACGUUGAAUAAGCGUUUGUAUUGACGGUACCUGACGAGGAAGCCACGGCUAACUACGUGCCAGCAGCCGCGGUAAUACGUAGGUGGCAAGCGUUGUCCGGAAUUAUUGGGCGUAAAGAGCAUGUAGGCGGGCUUUUAAGUCCGACGUGAAAAUGCGGGGCUUAACCCCGUAUGGCGUUGGAUACUGGAAGUCUUGAGUGCAGGAGAGGAAAGGGGAAUUCCUAGUGUAGCGGUGAAAUGCGUAGAUAUUAGGAGGAACACCAGUGGCGAAGGCGACUUUCUGGACUGUAACUGACGCUGAGGCUCGAAAGCCAGGGGAGCGAACGGGAUUAGAUACCCUGGUAGUCC